Molecule: ribosomal RNA, 998 nt
Filed under: Amphitetranychus viennensis (hawthorn spider mite)
Lineage: Eukaryota; Metazoa; Arthropoda; Arachnida; Trombidiformes; Tetranychidae
Description: 16S ribosomal RNA
Source: RNAcentral
AAAAAAUUAUAUAUAUAUUGUAAAAAUAUACAUAUUAAAUAAAAAUAAAAACAUUUUUAUUAGAUAUACCUUUUGUAUAAGGAAAAGUUAAAAAUUUUAAUUAUUUAUUUUUAUAAAUCUCGAAAAAUAAAGAAAUAAAUAUUAUUUAAAAAUAUUGAAUAAAAAUAAAUUUAUUAAUGUUAUAUUAAGAGUUAUUUUUUCUAGUUAUAUAAAUAUAAAUUUUAGUUAAGCUAAAAUAAAAAACUUUUAAUUAUUUAAAUUAAAAAAGAUUUUAAAUUAAUUAUAAUUAUUUUAAAUUAUUUAUUUAAAUUAUAAAAGUUUAAAUUUUUUUAAAAUAUAUAAUUUAAUUUUGGUUAUAAUAAUUUUAUUAGUAGAAUUAAUGGGAAAAAACCGUUUAAAAAAAAUAUAAUGUUAUAAAAUAAUUUUUUUUUUUAAAUUUAUUAUUUUAAUUUUUAACAAAAUAUUAUUUAUUGAAUAAAUCAAUAGUAAAUUCUGCUCAAUGAAAAAUUAAAUAGCCGAUUAAUCGCUAAGGUAGCAUAAUCACUUGUUUUUUAAUUAAAAACUUGAAUGAAAGGAUAAAAAAAUAAUAAAACUAAAUGUAAUAUUAAAUUGAAAUUUUAAUUUUAAUGAAAAUAUUAAAUUUUUAAUUUAGACGGAAAGACCCUAAAAUUUCACUUUUUAAAAAGUUUUUUGGGAUAAAAUUUAAUUUAAAUAUUUUAAUUAUAUAUUGAAAAGAACUUUUAUUUAAGAAUAGAAAAAAAAAUACUUUAGGGUUAACAGGAUAAAUUUUAAUUAAAGAACAAAUUUAUUGAAUUUUUAUUACCUCGAUGUUGGUUUUAUAUAAACUUUAAAUCGCAAUAGAUUUAUUUAGUUAGUCUGUUCGACUAAUAAUUUAUAACUUGAACUGAGUUCAAAUCGGUGUAAGCCAGAUUGGUUCUUAUCUAAUUAAUAUUAAAUUUUUAAAAGUACGAAAGGAAAAUUUAAAUUAUAUUAUAUAA